AGUUGCCCUGAUCGAAGCCAUGCUAGACGUUUUAAUGCUAGGCGUGGUCAAAACAGGGCAGAGAUGAACCAUUUUCUCAUUGGUCGCUGGGCUGACCAAUCCCGUGUCACCUUAGCAUUACCCAGGGAAAAGACACUU
Molecule: non-coding RNA, 138 nt
Organism: Branchiostoma floridae (Florida lancelet)
Lineage: Eukaryota; Metazoa; Chordata; Leptocardii; Amphioxiformes; Branchiostomatidae
Source: Rfam